GGGUUGUGAGGUUAAGCGACUAAGCGUACACGGUGGAUGCCCUGGCAGUCAGAGGCGAUGAAGGACGUGCUAAUCUGCGAUAAGCGUCGGUAAGGUGAUAUGAACCGUUAUAACCGGCGAUUUCCGAAUGGGGAAACCCAGUGUGAUUCGUCACACUAUCAUUAACUGAAUCCAUAGGUUAAUGAGGCGAACCGGGGGAACUGAAACAUCUAAGUACCCCGAGGAAAAGAAAUCAACCGAGAUUCCCCCAGUAGCGGCGAGCGAACGGGGAGCAGCCCAGAGCCUGAAUCAGUGUGUGUGUUAGUGGAAGCGUCUGGAAAGGCGCGCGAUACAGGGUGACAGCCCCGUACACAAAAAUACACAUACUGUGAGCUCGAUGAGUAGGGCGGGACACGUGGUAUCCUGUCUGAAUAUGGGGGGACCAUCCUCCAAGGCUAAAUACUCCUGACUGACCGAUAGUGAACCAGUACCGUGAGGGAAAGGCGAAAAGAACCCCGGCGAGGGGAGUGAAAAAGAACCUGAAACCGUGUACGUACAAGCAGUGGGAGCACAGAGCAAUCUGUGUGACUGCGUACCUUUUGUAUAAUGGGUCAGCGACUUAUAUUCUGUAGCAAGGUUAACCGAAUAGGGGAGCCGAAGGGAAACCGAGUCUUAACUGGGCGUUAAGUUGCAGGGUAUAGACCCGAAACCCGGUGAUCUAGCCAUGGGCAGGUUGAAGGUUGGGUAACACUAACUGGAGGACCGAACCGACUAAUGUUGAAAAAUUAGCGGAUGACUUGUGGCUGGGGGUGAAAGGCCAAUCAAACCGGGAGAUAGCUGGUUCUCCCCGAAAGCUAUUUAGGUAGCGCCUCGUGAAUUCAUCUCCGGGGGUAGAGCACUGUUUCGGCAAGGGGGUCAUCCCGACUUACCAACCCGAUGCAAACUGCGAAUACCGGAGAAUGUUAUCACGGGAGACACACGGCGGGUGCUAACGUCCGUCGUGAAGAGGGAAACAACCCAGACCGCCAGCUAAGGUCCCAAAGUCAUGGUUAAGUGGGAAACGAUGUGGGAAGGCCCAGACAGCCAGGAUGUUGGCUUAGAAGCAGCCAUCAUUUAAAGAAAGCGUAAUAGCUCACUGGUCGAGUCGGCCUGCGCGGAAGAUGUAACGGGGCUAAACCAUGCACCGAAGCUGCGGCAGCGACGCUUAUGCGUUGUUGGGUAGGGGAGCGUUCUGUAAGCCUGCGAAGGUGUGCUGUGAGGCAUGCUGGAGGUAUCAGAAGUGCGAAUGCUGACAUAAGUAACGAUAAAGCGGGUGAAAAGCCCGCUCGCCGGAAGACCAAGGGUUCCUGUCCAACGUUAAUCGGGGCAGGGUGAGUCGACCCCUAAGGCGAGGCCGAAAGGCGUAGUCGAUGGGAAACAGGUUAAUAUUCCUGUACUUGGUGUUACUGCGAAGGGGGGACGGAGAAGGCUAUGUUGGCCGGGCGACGGUUGUCCCGGUUUAAGCGUGUAGGCUGGUUUUCCAGGCAAAUCCGGAAAAUCAAGGCUGAGGCGUGAUGACGAGGCACUACGGUGCUGAAGCAACAAAUGCCCUGCUUCCAGGAAAAGCCUCUAAGCAUCAGGUAACAUCAAAUCGUACCCCAAACCGACACAGGUGGUCAGGUAGAGAAUACCAAGGCGCUUGAGAGAACUCGGGUGAAGGAACUAGGCAAAAUGGUGCCGUAACUUCGGGAGAAGGCACGCUGAUAUGUAGGUGAAGUCCCUCGCGGAUGGAGCUGAAAUCAGUCGAAGAUACCAGCUGGCUGCAACUGUUUAUUAAAAACACAGCACUGUGCAAACACGAAAGUGGACGUAUACGGUGUGACGCCUGCCCGGUGCCGGAAGGUUAAUUGAUGGGGUUAGCGCAAGCGAAGCUCUUGAUCGAAGCCCCGGUAAACGGCGGCCGUAACUAUAACGGUCCUAAGGUAGCGAAAUUCCUUGUCGGGUAAGUUCCGACCUGCACGAAUGGCGUAAUGAUGGCCAGGCUGUCUCCACCCGAGACUCAGUGAAAUUGAACUCGCUGUGAAGAUGCAGUGUACCCGCGGCAAGACGGAAAGACCCCGUGAACCUUUACUAUAGCUUGACACUGAACAUUGAGCCUUGAUGUGUAGGAUAGGUGGGAGGCUUUGAAGUGUGGACGCCAGUCUGCAUGGAGCCGACCUUGAAAUACCACCCUUUAAUGUUUGAUGUUCUAACGUUGACCCGUGAUCCGGGUUGCGGACAGUGUCUGGUGGGUAGUUUGACUGGGGCGGUCUCCUCCUAAAGAGUAACGGAGGAGCACGAAGGUUGGCUAAUCCUGGUCGGACAUCAGGAGGUUAGUGCAAUGGCAUAAGCCAGCUUGACUGCGAGCGUGACGGCGCGAGCAGGUGCGAAAGCAGGUCAUAGUGAUCCGGUGGUUCUGAAUGGAAGGGCCAUCGCUCAACGGAUAAAAGGUACUCCGGGGAUAACAGGCUGAUACCGCCCAAGAGUUCAUAUCGACGGCGGUGUUUGGCACCUCGAUGUCGGCUCAUCACAUCCUGGGGCUGAAGUAGGUCCCAAGGGUAUGGCUGUUCGCCAUUUAAAGUGGUACGCGAGCUGGGUUUAGAACGUCGUGAGACAGUUCGGUCCCUAUCUGCCGUGGGCGCUGGAGAACUGAGGGGGGCUGCUCCUAGUACGAGAGGACCGGAGUGGACGCAUCACUGGUGUUCGGGUUGUCAUGCCAAUGGCACUGCCCGGUAGCUAAAUGCGGAAGAGAUAAGUGCUGAAAGCAUCUAAGCACGAAACUUGCCCCGAGAUGAGUUCUCCCUGACUCCUUGAGAGUCCUGAAGGAACGUUGAAGACGACGACGUUGAUAGGCCGGAUGUGUAAGCGCAGCGAUGCGUUGAGCUAACCGGUACUAAUGAACCGUGAGGCUUAACCUUACAACGCCGAAGGUGUUU
Molecule: ribosomal RNA, 2933 nt
Filed under: Escherichia coli M8
Lineage: Bacteria; Pseudomonadati; Pseudomonadota; Gammaproteobacteria; Enterobacterales; Enterobacteriaceae
Description: bacterial LSU rRNA
Rfam family: Bacterial large subunit ribosomal RNA
Source: RNAcentral